Long non-coding RNA from Oncorhynchus tshawytscha (Chinook salmon), 2529 nucleotides. The record is from Ensembl. NCBI's taxonomy places the organism in Eukaryota, Metazoa, Chordata, Actinopteri, Salmoniformes, Salmonidae.
CUAGGAAAAACUCCCUAGAAAGGCCAAAACCUAGGAAGAAACCUAGAGAGGAACCAGGCUAUGUGGGGUGGCCAGUCCUCUUCUGGCUGUGCCGGGUGGAGAUUAUAACAGAACAUGGCCAAGAUGAUUAGGUUAAUGGGGAGAGAUGGGAGGUAGUUAGAUAUGAGGAGAGAUUGGAGGUAGUUAGAUACUGGAUAAUUAGGUUAAUGGGGAGAGAUGGGAGGUAGUUAGAUAUGAGGAGAGAUUGGAGGUAGAUACUGGAAAAUCAGGUUAACGGUGGGAUAUGAGGAGAGAUGGGAGGUAGUUAGAUACUGGAGAAUCAGGUUAAUGGGGAGAGACGGGAGGUAGUUAGAUACUGGAGAAUCAGGUUAACGGUGGGAUAUGAGGAGAGAUGGGAGGUAGUUAGAUACUGGAGAAUCAGGUUAAUGGGGAGAGAUGGGAGGUAGUUAGAUACUGGAGAAUCAGGUUAAUGGGGAGAGAUGGGAGGUAGUUAGAUACUGGAGAAUCAGGUUAAUGGGGAGAGAUGGGAGGUAGUUAGAUACUGGAGAAUCAGGUUAACGAGGGGAUAUGAGGAGAGAUGGGAGGUAGUUAGAUACUGGAGAAUCAGGUUAAUGGGGAGAGAUGGGAGGUAGUUAGAUAUGAAGAGAGAUGGAAGGUAGUUAGAAGAUAUAAAAUGUGAAGAUUUUAACACUGAUGCCAAAGACACACUUUGAAACACCUUCACGACAGAAGCUCAAGCAGAUGGAAAAUGUGAGAUUUGACUCUGAAAGAAAUGAAUGUUUUGUCCUGAAUAGAAUGUUGCCAUUUAUAUGUCAGAGCAAAAGCUCAGCAGGAAAAUACUGUAUUACUAGAUUGGGAAUCAAAACUGUCCCCUGGGAUAUUUUUGGCAGCACAACACCGUGUCAUCUGAAUGUUAAAUCGUGAUUUAUACUGUCUAUUUACAUUUAAUUCAGACAAGAGCUGAAAUAUUAGUAACAUGCUUGUCUCUAUGGUAAUAUACAGUAUAUUAUAAUGGUAACAUAUCAUGCUUGUCUCUAUGGUAAUAUACAGUAUAUUAUAAUAUUAGUAACAUAUCAUGCUUGUCUCUAUGGUAAUAUACGGUAUAUUAUAAUAUUAGUAACAUGCUUGUCUCUCUGGUAAUAUACAGUAUAUUAUAAUAUUAGUAACAUGCUUGUCUCUAUGGUAAUAUACAGUAUAUUAUAAUAUUAGUAACAUGCUUGUCUCUAUGGUAAUAUACAGUAUAUUAUAAUAUUAGUAACAUGCUUGUCUCUAUGGUAAUAUACAGUAUAUUAUAAUGGUAACAUAUCAUGCUUGUCUCUAUGGUAAUAUACAGUAUAUUAUAAUAUUAGUAACAUGCUUGUCUCAUUGGUAAUAUACAGUAUAUUAUAAUAUUAGUAACAUGCUUGUCUCUAUGGUAAUAUACAGUAUAUUAUAAUAUUAGUAACAUGCUUGUCUCUAUGGUAAUACAGUAUAUUAUAAUAUUAGUAACAUGCUUGUCUCUAUGGUAAUAUACAGUAUAUUAUAAUAUUAGUAACAUAUCAUGCUUGUCUCUAUGGUAAUAUACAGUAUAUUAUAAUAUUAGUAACAUAUCAUGCUUGUCUCUAUGGUAAUAUACAGUAUAUUAUAAUAUUAGUAACAUGCUUGUCUCUAUGGUAAUAUACAGUAUAUUAUAAUAUUAGUAUCAUGCUUGUCUCUAUGGUAAUACAGUAUAUUAUAAUAUUAGUAACAUGCUUGUCUCUAUGGUAAUAUACAGUAUAUUAUAAUAUUAGUAACAUGCUUGUCUCUAUGGUAAUAUACAGUAUAUUAUAAUGGUAACAUAUCAUGCUUGUCUCUAUGGUAAUAUACAGUAUAUUAUAAUAUUAGUAACAUGCUUGUCUCUAUGGUAAUAUACAGUAUAUUAUAAUAUUAGUAACAUAUCAUGCUUGUCUCUGGUAAUAUACAGUAUAUUAUAAUAUUAGUAACAUGCUUGUCUCUAUGGUAAUAUACAGUAUAUUAUAGCAUUAUAGAGAUAUAUGGAGUGCAGGACUAGGACUAUAGACAGUAUAUUAUAGCGUUAUGGAGAUAUAUGGAGUGCAGGACUAGGACUAUAGACAGUAUAUUAUAGCGUUAUGGAGAUAUAUGGAGUGCAGGACUAGGACUAUAGACAGUAUAUUAUAGCGUUAUGGAGAUAUAUGGAGUGCAGGACUAGGAGUAUAUACAAGCCAGCGUCACUGUAUUACAAUUAAUAGCUAUUGAGUUAAUGAAUAUAUUUAUUCCAUAUCAUGAUUAUGUCUUUCACUACUGUAGAGAGAGAAUUCUCCCCUUUAAAAACUUCUAGUAUGUGCUUGGCCAUUCUGAGCCUUAUGAGUCGAUGGUCUACCAUUCUGAGCCUUAUGAGUCGAUGGUCUACCAUUCUGAGCCUUAUGAAUGGAUGGUCUACCAUUCUGAGCCUUAUGAAUGGAUGGUCUACCAUUCUGAGCCUUGUGGAUGGAUGGUCUACCAUUCUGAGCCUUGUGGAUGGAUGGUCUACCAUUCUGAGCCUUGUGGAUG